Molecule: ribosomal RNA, 424 nt
Filed under: uncultured prokaryote
Also listed under: 1 other name
Description: bacterial SSU rRNA
Rfam family: Bacterial small subunit ribosomal RNA
Source: RNAcentral
UGAGGAAUAUUGGUCAAUGGGCGAGAGCCUGAACCAGCCAAGUCGCGUGAAGGAAGAAGGAUCUAUGGUUCGUAAACUUCUUUUUUAGGGGAAUAAAGUGUGGGACGUGUCCCAUUUUGUAUGUACCCUACGAAUAAGGAUCGGCUAACUCCGUGCCAGCAGCCGCGGUAAUACGGAGGAUCCAAGCGUUAUCCGGAUUUAUUGGGUUUAAAGGGUGCGUAGGCGGGACGACAAGUCAGUGGUGAAAGUUUGCAGCUCAACUGUAAAAUUGCCGUUGAAACUGUCGUUCUUGAGUGUAAAUGAGGUAGGCGGAAUGUGUUAUGUAGCGGUGAAAUGCUUAGAUAUGACACAGAACACCAAUUGCGAAGGCAGCUUACUAAGAUACAACUGACGCUGAGGCACGAAAGCGUGGGGAUCGAACAGG